AUUGAACGCUGGCGGAAUGCUUUACACAUGCAAGUCGAACGGCAGCACGGGGGCAACCCUGGUGGCGAGUGGCGAACGGGUGAGUAAUACAUCGGAACGUGCCCAGUCGUGGGGGAUAACGUAGCGAAAGUUACGCUAAUACCGCAUACGAUCUACGGAUGAAAGCGGGGGACCGUAAGGCCUCGCGCGAUUGGAGCGGCCGAUGUCAGAUUAGGUAGUUGGUGAGGUAAAGGCUCACCAAGCCGACGAUCUGUAGCUGGUCUGAGAGGACGACCAGCCACACUGGGACUGAGACACGGCCCAGACUCCUACGGGAGGCAGCAGUGGGGAAUUUUGGACAAUGGGCGCAAGCCUGAUCCAGCCAUUCCGCGUGCAGGACGAAGGCCUUCGGGUUGUAAACUGCUUUUGUACGGAACGAAAAGGCUCUGGUUAAUACCUGGGGCUCAUGACGGUACCGUAGAGUAAGCACCGGCUAACUACGUGCCAGCAGCCGCAGUAA
This 499-nucleotide ribosomal RNA is filed under the name uncultured bacterium. Its description in RNAcentral is "partial 16S ribosomal RNA". It matches the Rfam family "Bacterial small subunit ribosomal RNA", at positions 30 to 523 of the family's 1533-position model. The record is from RNAcentral.